This 97-nucleotide microRNA precursor is filed under the name Myotis lucifugus (little brown bat). Its description in RNAcentral is "mir-544 microRNA precursor family". It matches the Rfam family "mir-544 microRNA precursor family". Lineage: Eukaryota; Metazoa; Chordata; Mammalia; Chiroptera; Vespertilionidae. The record is from Rfam by way of RNAcentral.
AAUAUCUGGAGAUCUUGUUAAAAUGCAGAUUCUAAUUCUCCAAGUCCAGGGUGGGGCAGAGAUUUUGCAUUUCUAACAAGCUCCCUGAUGAUGCCAA